UGGGCUUUAUAAGGGCCAGGCCCUGCCCCCUACAGGCAGCUGGCUCCCCUUAGUUGCUCCGGCAACCCACAGCUGUGCUCACUUGGUUCUGCCAGGGCUCUCUCCCUGGCAGUUUCUCCUCUCUUAGGAGCAGGCACCAGGGUGCCCUGCGACAAAAGGAAAAAAAAAUCUCUACUUACCUUAGAAGCAGGGGCUGGGGGUGCUCCAGGGCCUCCUGGCAGAGCCUCCCCUGGGCAGCACAGGGCAGUGGGGAGCAGGAGGGCCCAGGCUGGGGCCCUGGGGCUGUCCCCCUGUCCCAUGCUGUGCAGGCAGGGCCCCAGUAAGCCAGAUGGCAGCUACGACUGCUGUCUGGAGAGGGGAGCCACCAUAUGCUCUAUACCCUGAGCCAGAGCUGGAGCCAGAGCUGCCACAUCAGCUGAAGAAAGGUCAUCUUCACAUUGCUGCAGAAUCUUUUGGGAAGACAUCCAGCUUUCUCCUUGACUUCCUAUUGGAGCUACACAUUGUCCUCCCUUGACAUCUGUCCCUUUGGCCAUCAGCACCUUUCUGGUUCUGAGCAGGUCACAGGUGCAAUUCCAAGGGUUUCCAUCUAGAUACAGGUGCCUGAGACGAGGCAAAUACUCCAAGACUUUGCAAUCCAAGGAAGAUAUCUUGUUGUUACGUAGAUUUAAAACCUGAAGUUGUUUCAAGUCCUUCAGCUCUUGUUCUCCAACAUCCCGUAUGUCAUUUCCUUUCAGAUCCAACCUGGCUAGAGUAUCUGGAAGUCUGAACAAAAAUGAAACAAACUGAACAUUUGCUAUACUGAUUCUGCCAGUGCCAUUGAAAAUGAAGGCACUGGGAUGCCAUACUGAGGAGGAGACAUGGCCCUAAAAUAUUUCUAUGCAUGAUUGUGGACAUAUGUCUAAAUUAUUACUCACAUGAUUUUUUGAAAGCUGUUGGCCCAACAUCUGUGUAUAGCGGACUUGUUUCCCCCAAAUUAUUACAUCCCUGAAUAGGCUCUUUUUUUGAGGGGAAAGUAUUGCAUUCAAAGUGGGCUUUAAUUAACGUGAAAGUAAAUUUCAUGGAGUCCCAUGUAAUAGUCAUAACCAAGACCAACUUAUAGCAGUGCCAAAGACAACAUAUGUACAGAAGGCUGAGGAUAUACCCGCUAAGGCUUUCUUUGCAUAAAUGUGGUUGACAUUUUGUGCAGUAACGUGCAUUUUUUUCUUUUUGUUUCUUUAUUUUGUCAGCAUCAGAUUCAGAAAUUAUGCACAACAGGUCAAAAGAACCUGAAAAGGAAGUGCUCAUAUCUUUGUUAAAUAUUUCUGACUGAUCUUAAAAAGAUGUCAUCAGGGACAAAAAACAAAUUAUUCCUACACAGCUUUGUUGAAAAAAACCCAACAAUUUAGAACUGAGUAAAUAUGAAAAUGAAAAUCUGAUGUAUUUUUCACCAUGUAUUUUGUCAUCUUUUUAUUUUGCAUUCAGCCAUUUUGGCCACAAAAUGAGGCUUGUUGUUUUAAUUACUUUUGUAUUUCAGAAGCCUUACUCAUUCAUUUAUAAUCUUCUACUUUUAUUCCAUACUAGUACAUGAAAACUGUUAGCUAGAGAAGUGUACUAAUUUGGCAUAAAAGACAAUUUUUAAUUAAAUCAAUUUGAAAUUAAUCCCAAUUAUGAUGCACAAGGUGCUAAAGUUAGGAGUGCCAGUCUGAAAUGUAAAGGACUCUGGUUGCACAUAAUUCUCAAAGUCAUCAUAAAGAAGGUUAACAAGAAUUACUUAGAACUAAACUGUGACUCUGCACUAGCACCCAUUACUGACGUGAUAGCUUAUUUUACUGUAAUUCUUUGAUAUAUCACUAAAAAUAAAUGAUGAAAAUAGCCCAUGG
Molecule: long non-coding RNA, 1859 nt
Organism: Alligator mississippiensis (American alligator)
Lineage: Eukaryota; Metazoa; Chordata; Crocodylia; Alligatoridae
Exons: 3
Source: RefSeq, a predicted model, not a curated record